Long non-coding RNA from Amphiprion ocellaris (clown anemonefish), 403 nucleotides. RefSeq lists it as uncharacterized. NCBI's taxonomy places the organism in Eukaryota, Metazoa, Chordata, Actinopteri, Pomacentridae. The transcript has 3 exons. The record is from RefSeq and is a predicted model, not a curated record.
AACGCCCAGCCAAUCACGUGGCGCUCCUCCGGUCAUGUGACGCAGACGGUUCACUUCACAAGACCGGGGUCAACCACGGCUACCAGCAUGAUCGACGGUGCUUCAAUGCACAAUGAGGGAUGUCUGCAGCGACUGAGAAAGAGUCUCACCACAUCCUGACAUGAGGAAAAAGACUUUAUUGAAGACUACAAUGAGAAAAACUAUCAGACAGCAGACGGCUGCAUUCAAGGAGGAAGACCAUCAAACAUCCACGUCAGCUGAUGGAGGUCCAAGAGUCUCACCCAACAAACAACCUACUGAGUGAAGACCUCGAAUCUGAUUGGACGGCCUCCUAUUCAGCCACGUGUGAACAAAUGCCUCUAAGCUGAUUUGUUUUCUAAAAUAAAUCUAGUUUGUGUCCUAA